RNAcentral lists this ribosomal RNA (117 nucleotides) under Candidatus Pacebacteria bacterium RIFOXYB1_FULL_44_10. The record is from RNAcentral. RNAcentral also lists the same sequence under 1 other name. Lineage: Bacteria; Bacillati; Minisyncoccota.
CCCGGUCUUUAGAGCGGUGUGGUCCUACCUCUUCCCAUUCCGAACAGAGUCGUCAAACACACCAGCGCCCACAAUAAUGCUCUCACAAGGGAGUGUGAAGAUAAGUCAAGGCCGGGA